This 526-nucleotide long non-coding RNA is filed under the name Selaginella moellendorffii. Its description in RNAcentral is "long non-coding RNA (SMOE_LNC000761)". Lineage: Eukaryota; Viridiplantae; Streptophyta; Lycopodiopsida; Selaginellales; Selaginellaceae. The record is from RNAcentral.
CGCGAUAUGCCGAGAAUCUUGAGGUGUCAAAUACUGCUUGACGAGAUUCCAGAGCCAAACAGGACGAUCAUGAUAUAUGCGGAGUCCGGGCAUCUCCGAGAUGCCGAGAGAACGUUCAAGCACGUCCCUUCGCACGAUGCCGUCGCGCUAAACGCAAUGCUUCAGGCUUACGUCCUCAACGGGAGAGACGACAUGGUUUGACAAAAUGGGAUUUGCUUCGAGCGGGCAUUUGCACAAAGCGAGAGACCUGUUCAUCACGAUGCCACGGAGGGCCUUCCUCGACCCUGCUACAGGCUUUUGCUCAAGCAGGGCAGAUCAGAUUCGCGAGAAAAACCUUAGAUUUUAUGCCUGCUGCUCUUCCGCGAGAUGAUUCUGCCCGGCAUGAGCACCGACGAGGACAUUCAAGCCCAUCGAGAUCUCCGACGCGCCUGCUUCCACGUCUAGACAUCCAGCGGCAACACUACCAAUGCAUCGCCCAGCCCAUCUCGUCGGCAUGGCGAUCGAGGCGGCGCCUUCUAGACCCGAG